Molecule: ribosomal RNA, 776 nt
Filed under: uncultured Neocallimastigales
Lineage: Eukaryota; Fungi; Neocallimastigomycota; Neocallimastigomycetes; Neocallimastigales
Description: partial large subunit ribosomal RNA
Rfam family: Eukaryotic large subunit ribosomal RNA
Source: RNAcentral
GUACACGCUGUGACUAGCAUAUCAAUAAGCGGAGGAAAAGAAACUAACAAGGAUUCCCCUAGUAACGGCGAGUGAAGCGGGAAGAGCUCAAAUUUGAAAUCUUAAAGGGUUUCCCUUUACGAAUUGUAGUUUAAAGAAGUGUUUUCUGUUGAGGUUUUGGUAAAAGUUCUUUGGAAUAGGACAUCAUAGAGGGUGAGAAUCCCGUAUUUGACCUUUACUUUCAACUUUGUGAUACACUUUCAAAGAGUCGGAUUGUUUGGGAAUGCAGUCCAAAAUGGGUGGUAAAUUUCAUCUAAAGCUAAAUAUUGGCGAGAGACCGAUAGCGAACAAGUACCGUGAGGGAAAGGAUGAAAAGAACUUUGAAAAGAGAGUUAAACAGUACGUGAAAUUGUCAAAAGGGAAGCGUUUGACACCAGUGUUGUUUUCUCUGAAAAUCAAUUAAAGAACUGUAUAUGCUAAGUUGUUUAGACUUUAUCAGCUAACUGUUUAGUUUUGAGCUUUUCUUUAAUGCACUUUUCAGUUAACAAGUCAACAUCAAUUUCUUUUGCUGUAAAAAAGCUUGAGGAAGGUGGCUUGAGAUUCGUCUUAAGUGUUUAUAGCCUCUUGCCUAUGCAGUCGGAGAGAUUGAGGUCUGCAGCGUAGAUCCUUCGGGGCUAAAUGCAUUUGUGCUAAGUUAUAGCAUUUUAUAGACAACUUGUUGACUAUGAUUUGUCUUGUAGCUUACUCGCUUAUGUUAUUUUACCUACACUUAGGAUGUUGACAGCAGUAUAGACUGU